AUCUUUGCCGGGUGUCUCUGAC
RNAcentral lists this microRNA (22 nucleotides) under Sorghum bicolor (sorghum). RNAcentral describes it as "sbi-miR5388". The record is from miRBase by way of RNAcentral. Lineage: Eukaryota; Viridiplantae; Streptophyta; Magnoliopsida; Poales; Poaceae.